UUUAAGUACAAUUGUGGGUUUCUCUGUCUCUGUAUUUAACGUUUGACUGUUCGUCUUAUUUGAAUUUUUUUAUGGUUAAUAUUUUUAUUGUUAUUAGAUGAUAAAACAUGAAUAAUACUUCACGCGUGACUUAUUUCUUUAAUUUUUUUUUCACAUAUUUAUAAAUAAGACGGAUGAUCAAACGUUGGACACGAAACCCACAACUACACUUAAA
This is a microRNA precursor of Oryza sativa Japonica Group (Japanese rice), 214 nucleotides long. It matches the Rfam family "MIR812 microRNA precursor family". NCBI's taxonomy places the organism in Eukaryota, Viridiplantae, Streptophyta, Magnoliopsida, Poales, Poaceae. The record is from Rfam.